UUGCAGUUAAAAAGCUCGUAGUUGGAUUUCUGGUUAAAGGUUAGAGCGCACCUGUGUGAGGCUCGAGUCUUUUGCCAUCCUUCUGUUAACCUUACAUGACAUUGAUUUGUCGGUUUGGGGCUCAGAUAUUUUACCUUGAGAAAAUUAGAGUGUUUCAGGCAGGCUUGUGCCCGGAUACAUUAGCAUGGAAUAAUGGAAUAGGACUUUAAUCUCUUCUGUUGGUCUGAGGGGUUGAAGUAAUGAUUAAUAGGGAUAGUUGGGGGCAUUAGUACUUAACUGUCAGAGGUGAAAUUCUCGGAUUUGUUAAAGACUAACUUAUGCGAAAGCAUUUGCCAAGGAUGUUUUCGUUAAUCAAGAACGAAAGUUAGGGGAUCAAAGACGAUCAGAUACCGUCCUAGUCUUAACCAUAAACUAUGCCGACUCGGGAUCGGGGGCUAGAGUUAACUGCCUUCGGCACCGUAUGAGAAAUCAAAGUCUUUGGGUUCCGGGGGGAGUAUGGUCGCAAGGCUGAAACUUAAAGGAAUUGACGGAAGGGCACCACCAGGCGUGGAGCUUGCGGCUCAAUUUGACUCAACACGGGGAAACUUACCAGGUCCAGACAUAGUGAGGAUUGACAGAUUGAUAGCUCUUUCU
This 633-nucleotide ribosomal RNA is filed under the name uncultured marine eukaryote. RNAcentral describes it as "SSU rRNA". It matches the Rfam family "Eukaryotic small subunit ribosomal RNA", at positions 613 to 1262 of the family's 1831-position model. The record is from RNAcentral.